GGGGGUUUAGCUCAGUUGGUAGAGCGCAUGCUUUGCAAGCAGGAUGUCAGGAGUUCGAGUCUCCUAACCUCCACCUGUACUGACAAUGA
This 89-nucleotide transfer RNA is filed under the name Fischerella sp. MV11. RNAcentral's name for it is "tRNA-Ala". The stretch from base 1 to 73 matches the Rfam family "tRNA". Rfam says of the family: Transfer RNA (tRNA) molecules are approximately 80 nucleotides in length. Their secondary structure includes four short double-helical elements and three loops (D, anti-codon, and T loops). The record is from RNAcentral. Lineage: Bacteria; Bacillati; Cyanobacteriota; Cyanophyceae; Nostocales; Hapalosiphonaceae.